UACGUAGGUGGCGAGCGUUGUCCGGAUUUACUGGGCGUAAAGAGCGCGCAGGCGGCUGGUCAAGUCCGAUGUGAAAGCUCCCGGCUUAACUGGGAAAUUGCAUCGGAAACUGAUCGGCUGGAAGGUGGGAGAGGGUAGCGGAAUUCCCGGUGUAGAGGUGAAAUUCGUAGAUAUCGGGAGGAACACCAGUGGCGAAGGCGGCGAUCUGGGAAGAUACUGACGCUGAGGUGCGAAAGCGUGGGGAGCAAACAGG
Molecule: ribosomal RNA, 253 nt
Filed under: uncultured bacterium
Lineage: Bacteria
Description: partial 16S ribosomal RNA
Rfam family: Bacterial small subunit ribosomal RNA
Source: RNAcentral